UUUUGCAAUAUUGUCUUGUUAUUAUCUUUAUAUUACAUGUACCUGCAAUCAAUGCUGUUUGAAAUUAUUUUCAAGUUAUUGGUUAAUGCUUUUUUUUAUAUGUUUUUAAACGCUUGAAAUUUUUAUUACGCUCUUUGGAAACUCACAGGAAAUGAAAAUGGAAGAAAUCAAUUACCAACUGAAUGUAUUGUGUAAGAGUUUGGAUGCUAUACUCCAAAACAUCUUUGGAACAAAGUAUUACAGUGACCUCAAAUAUUUUGCUACUCGCCAUCCCUUUGUUCUGACUGGUGUUAUAUCAGUCAGCAUAUUUUCAGCCAUUCCAUUCUUAUUUUUUCUUGGUUUUACUUUCAUUACUCUUUUCAUUGCAUUGUUAUGCUUUCUUUGCAUAGAAGGUUCAAUUAUAGCAGUUGGUGGUCUUAUUUUUGUUGGAAUUGUUUCCUUCAUAACCAUUAUUGUAGGGGCAAUCAUUUCAGCUAUGGCAGUGGGCUUCUGGAUUUUGCAACAAAUAAGACUUGCACUUAAAAGGGCGUCUAAAAUGAAAUGUCAGAAAAAUCCAUCUGCAGCAUCAGAAAAAAACAGCCCAGCACCUUCUAUUGAAGAAAUCUCAGAAGAAUAAGUUGUAUUCAGAAUCUUUAUUAUGAAAUGUUUGCUCACUAGAAAGCACUUAAUUUUGAUAUAAUAUUUGUUGCUCAUUUUAUAUUAUAUAUUUGUGUAAUAAAUUGUAUUUUUGUACUGUU
This is a long non-coding RNA of Argiope bruennichi, 737 nucleotides long. RefSeq lists it as uncharacterized. The record is from RefSeq and is a predicted model, not a curated record. The transcript is spliced from 3 exons. Lineage: Eukaryota; Metazoa; Arthropoda; Arachnida; Araneae; Araneidae.